GAAAGAAUAUCGGAGACGGAUGGGCAUGCGGCGCAUUAGCUAGUUGGCGGGGUAACGGCCCACCAAGGCGACGAUGCGUAGGGGUUCUGAGAGGAAGGUCCCCCACACUGGUACUGAGACACGGACCAGACUCCUACGGGAGGCAGCAGUGAGGAAUAUUGGUCAAUGGGCGAGAGCCUGAACCAGCCAAGUCGCGUGAGGGAGUACUGCCCUAUGGGUUGUAAACCUCUUUUGUCGGGGAGCAAAAGCCGGACGUGUCCGGCUGUGAGAGUACCCGAAGAAAAAGCAUCGGCUAACUCCGUGCCAGCAGCCGCGGUAAUACGGAGGAUGCGAGCGUUAUCCGGAUUUAUUGGGUUUAAAGGGUGCGCAGGCGGAUUUUUAAGUCAGCGGUCAAAUCGUGGGGCUCAACCCCAUCCAGCCGUUGAAACUGGGGAUCUAGAGUGUGCGAGAGGUAUGCGGAAUGCGUGGUGUAGCGGUGAAAUGCAUAGAUAUCACGCAGAACCCCGAUUGCGAAGGCAGCAUACCGGUGCACAACUGACGCUCAGGCACGAAAGCGUGGGUAUCGAACAGGAUUAGAUACCCUGGUAGUCCACGCAGU
Molecule: ribosomal RNA, 598 nt
Filed under: uncultured bacterium
Lineage: Bacteria
Description: bacterial SSU rRNA
Rfam family: Bacterial small subunit ribosomal RNA
Source: RNAcentral